GUGGGGAAUAUUGGGCAAUGGGCGCAAGCCUGACCCAGCAACGCCGCGUGAAGGAAGACGCAUCUAUGGUGUGUAAACUGCUUUUGUACGGGAAGAAACACUCCCUCGUGAGGGAGCUUGACGGUACCGUAAGAAUAAGGAUCGGCUAACUCCGUGCCAGCAGCCGCGGUAAUACGGAGGAUCCAAGCGUUAUCCGGAAUCAUUGGGUUUAAAGGGUCCGUAGGCGGUUUAAUAAGUCAGUGGUGAAAGCCCAUCGCUCAACGAUGGAACGGCCAUUGAUACUGUUAGACUUGAAUUACAAGGAAGUAACUAGAAUAUGUAGUGUAGCGGUGAAAUGCUUAGAUAUUACAUGGAAUACCAAUUGCGAAGGCAGGUUACUACUUGUGGAUUGACGCUGAUGGACGAAAGCGUGGGGAGCGAACAGGAUUAGAUACCCUGGUAGUCC
Molecule: ribosomal RNA, 445 nt
Filed under: uncultured bacterium
Lineage: Bacteria
Description: partial 16S ribosomal RNA
Rfam family: Bacterial small subunit ribosomal RNA
Source: RNAcentral